GGAAGCAGAGCUCAGAGGGACUGGCAACAGGCACAAGUGAAGUUUACUUGCCAAUCUUCACUGAAAUCACAUUUGAAAAGUCAUGGUUUUCUUUCUUUGUUUUGUUGUGAUUUUCUGUUUUAUUGUAAAGAAGAUUGUAGAAACGAGGCAGAAAAGGAAGGCCGGGAAACAAAAAAAGGGUAUCUAAACAACAGAGUACAAAGAUUGGACUCUCUGGAGCUCAUCCCUUCAGAGAGUCAUUCCUGAAAGCCCUGUAUCUCCUAUCUCCACUACCUCGAUUCUCUGGGAUAAAUUACAACUUUAUGAUUCAUGAAUCCAAAAAGGACAGUCUUUUCAUCCAUCCAUUUUAUAAAUGACAUGGCUCCUAAGGAACAGCAAAACCUGAAGCAAAUUACGGCAACAAGCAUUUGUCAACCACGCACAUGAAGCCACUCUUUGUACGUAUUAUGCAUCUCAAUCUCUAUAUAUGGUUAUCAACAUAAUAAUUCAAGUAAAGAGUUUUCUACACCAGAAGUUCCAACAUCAAGCUACAUUCAAAGAGAGAAACAACACAUUCGAUACACAAGUUAUGAAGAGUCGGAAAUUCCUCAUAAGAUAGAACAUGUGCAAUUGAAUUCCAACUAUUAGGUUUUCUGUGGAAAAAAACAUAUGUGUGUGCAUAUAUAUGGCCAUCUGAUCAUUUUAAAAGCAUACUCAGAAUACAUUAAAAAAACACCAUGAGUAUGAAUUA
Long non-coding RNA from Saimiri boliviensis boliviensis (Bolivian squirrel monkey), 730 nucleotides. RefSeq lists it as uncharacterized. Lineage: Eukaryota; Metazoa; Chordata; Mammalia; Primates; Cebidae. The record is from RefSeq and is a predicted model, not a curated record.